UCAGCAUUAACGAUGUUUAACCUCUUGUAGUUAUCCUUGCACUUUGAUUGCCGGUGAAGAAAUUUAUGGGGGGAAUCAUUGACUGAGAUGCUU
Elaeis guineensis (African oil palm) is the source of this 93-nucleotide small nucleolar RNA. RefSeq annotates it as small nucleolar RNA snoR26. Lineage: Eukaryota; Viridiplantae; Streptophyta; Magnoliopsida; Arecales; Arecaceae. The record is from RefSeq and is a predicted model, not a curated record.